RNAcentral lists this ribosomal RNA (447 nucleotides) under uncultured bacterium. RNAcentral's name for it is "bacterial SSU rRNA". It matches the Rfam family "Bacterial small subunit ribosomal RNA", at positions 355 to 825 of the family's 1533-position model. The record is from RNAcentral.
UCGGGAAUUUUGGGCAAUGGGGGAAACCCUGACCCAGCAACGCCGCGUGAAGGAUGAAGUAUUUCGGUAUGUAAACUUCGAAAGAAUAGGAAGAAUAAAUGACGGUACUAUUUAUAAGGUCCGGCUAACUACGUGCCAGCAGCCGCGGUAAUACGUAGGGACCAAGCGUUGUUCGGAUUUACUGGGCGUAAAGGGCGCGUAGGCGGCAUGACAAGUCACUUGUGAAAUCUCUGGGCUUAACCCAGAACGGCCAAGUGAUACUGUCGCGCUAGAGUGCAGAAGGGGCAAUCGGAAUUCUUGGCGUAGCGGUGAAAUGCGUAGAUAUCAAGAGGAACACCUGAGGUGAAGACGGGUUGCUGGGCUGACACUGACGCUGAGGCGCGAAAGCCAGGGGAGCAAACGGGAUUAGAUACCCACGUAGUCCCUGAGCGGGCUGGCAAGGCGCAU